RNAcentral lists this ribosomal RNA (305 nucleotides) under uncultured bacterium. Its description in RNAcentral is "bacterial SSU rRNA". It matches the Rfam family "Bacterial small subunit ribosomal RNA", at positions 334 to 655 of the family's 1533-position model. The record is from RNAcentral.
GGCCCUACGGGAGGCAGCAGUGGGGAAUAUUGGGCAAUGGACGCAAGUCUGACCCAGCAACGCCGCGUGAAGGAAGAAGGCUUUCGGGUUGUAAACUUCUUUUAAGGGGGAAGAGCAGAAGACGGUACCCCUUGAAUAAGCCACGGCUAACUACGUGCCAGCAGCCGCGGUAAUACGUAGGUGGCAAGCGUUGUCCGGAUUUACUGGGUGUAAAGGGCGUGCAGCCGGAGAGACAAGUCAGAUGUGAAAACUAUGGGCUCAACCCAUAGCCUGCAUUUGAAACUGUAUUUCUUGAGUGCUGGAGA